This 219-nucleotide ribosomal RNA is filed under the name Symbiodinium sp. ex Cyphastrea chalcidicum. Its description in RNAcentral is "partial 18S ribosomal RNA". It matches the Rfam family "Eukaryotic small subunit ribosomal RNA", at positions 1726 to 1830 of the family's 1831-position model. The record is from RNAcentral. Lineage: Eukaryota; Dinophyceae; Suessiales; Symbiodiniaceae.
UCCUCCUCCUUCUCUGAUCUGCGUACCCGUCCCGCUACACUCCCUUCCCAUCUUUUUUUUUUUUUAUUUUUGUUGGGUUUUUUCCCGGGGGAAAUUUUUUUGGAUUGACGCAGUGCUCAGCUUUUGGACGUUGCGUCGGAAAGUUUCAUGAACCUUAUCACUUAGAGGAAGGAGAAGUCGUAACAAGGUUUCCGUAGGUGAACCUGCGGAAGGAUCAUU